Marmota monax (woodchuck) is the source of this 3245-nucleotide long non-coding RNA. RefSeq lists it as uncharacterized. Lineage: Eukaryota; Metazoa; Chordata; Mammalia; Rodentia; Sciuridae. The record is from RefSeq and is a predicted model, not a curated record. The transcript is spliced from 2 exons.
GGUGUUGCCACUGGCUAGUGACAUGUUUUCCUGCACCAGCCCAACUCUGGGCGUGGAGAGGGGACAAAGAGGAGAGGUGUGCUAGGUUCCGAGUUGUGCUGUAACAAGCUACCACAAACCCGGGCGUGGACAACAACAGGAACAUAUCCCCUGUCACUCUUCUCGGGGCUGGAAGCUCAGGGGUGGGCGGGGCUUGCUGCCCACGCCGUCCCCUGGCCUCCCAUGGUGGAGAAGCCAGAUCUUGGUGUCCUCUGGCUGGUGGCUGCGACAUUCCCACCUUUGCCCGUGUCACUGUACGGUCACUUUCUUUGUGUACGUCUCUGUGGGACCUCUCCUCUUCUUCAAAGGACACUAGUCAUCAGAUGUAGAGCCCACCCGAGUCCAGUGUGACCUCAUCUGAACUUGGUUACAUGCGCAAAGACCUUUUGGGCGGGGUCGCCUGCAUAUGUGCCCAACACCAAAGUGGGAGAGAAGGGUAGGAAGGAAGAGGCUGUUCUGUGGAACUCCAGGGGGCCUGGGGGAGUCCCACUGAGACGUGGCCUUCCGUGUUAUGUGAAGGUGUUUGUCAAAGAGGGAGCACAGUGUGUCGCUUUUAAGCACAUAAUCACAUGUGCGUAAGCCUCAUUUGCAUCCUGGGUUUGCACAUGUUAGCAGAUCUGAAUCAGGUUGGAAGCAUCUGGAAUUCUCAGGACUCACAAGUCCAGGAUGCCUUGAAUUAUCCUGCUCUCUGAAUUAUGGGGUGUGUGUGUGUGUGUGUGUGUGUUGUUGAUCUCCCUCUCUAGAAAUAUAAGCUUUUAUGAGAAUACAGGCCUUUUUCUCUUUGUCUUUGUGAUGGGUUAAUAAGCACCUCUGCUUUCUAGGGCCGCUGAUGGCAUGGGGUGCCAGGCACAAGGCAUGGCUCCCCAAGCCUUGCACACCGUUGAGCCUUCCUGCCUGCCAAGACCUCAAGCCAGGUAGGACCAAGGUCAUCUCGUCCUCAUGACCUCUCCAGUCGUUAUUUGGGAUUCCAUUCAUUCAGAGCCCGAGCUCUGGUUAGCUUUCUCCAUGACGUCAGCCCCCAGCACCACUGUGCGGUGACUACACUUGUUGAUGUUCAAGCUGUCCCUUUCGGCCAAGCCUCUUCGUGUGGUCUCCUGUAUCCUCGUGGAUUUGACCCCAGUAGUCGUCGACAGCUGCCUUGCUUCCCGAUGACAAGAUGUUCCCAGUUCACCUGCAACAUCUCUUGCCGCAGAUCUGGGAACUGGCUGCUUCUCCACGGAGCCCUGAAUUCUAAUGGACAGUGGUGUUUAGAGACCAUAACCCCAGGUGACAGGGUGCUCACUGCACACACAAUGAGUCGCUCUGUCUCACUUCUCCAUGGAAGGAGCCAGCAAACACGUGUUCCUGUCUAUAAGGCUCAUGAGAGCUUCAGUUCAAGCCACAGGUCUUCACCUCAUCUCUGUGAUCUCUCAGGUGCCUCUGCUUUCUUCCAUGACAUGUGAUCAAGUCUGGUGUCUAAAAGCAAAGCCCCCCCACUGUGUCUCCCAUCAAGCUGGGAGCGUGUGAGGAAGCCCUUAAGUCUCCCGUGGGCGUGAGCCUCGGUUCUCCCACGAGGCUGCUCUGGGAAAAGCCCACUUCCUGGUCCCCAAGAGACCACGCAGCCCCUUCCAACAUCCUCAGUGCGGAUCCUCCCAUCCAGCCGGUUUCCUUCCUGGCUGCACACUGGAGUCUCAUGCGGAAUUAUAAAACCUUCCGAUGCCUGUCCCUGUCCACAUAAAUCACAGGACAGAAUCUCCGGGGCUGGAACCCUAUAAUAAAAAAGUAUAUAUAUUUAAAAAAAAAUUUUUAGUUGUAGAUGGACAUAAUAUUUUAUAAUUUAUUUUAUUUAUUUAUUUAUAUGUGGUGCUGAGGAUCGAACCCAGUGCCUCACACAUGCUAGGCAAGCGCUCUACUCGCUGAGCCACAACCCCAGCCCCCCAAGAUAUAUAUUUUUAAAUGAAGUCCAGGUAAUCGUAACGUGCAGCUGGGCUGAGGGUCACUGUGGUAGUCCUUGCUUCUCAGCAAAGUGGAUAGUAGACCAGCUCUGCCGUGGAAGCCCAUUAGCUUCAGUUUGAAUUCUGGGGCUGCCUAUUUCAGGCUAUGAGAUCCCUGGACCAACUGAGCAACAGAAGUUUCUACAAUCACCCAAAUGAUCUAAAUAUGCACUGUUUGGUGUGGUGGCCACUGACCACACAGGACUACCGGGCACUUGAACUUGUUGCUAGUAUCCCCUGUCCAGUGAAUUUUUAAAUAUAUUUAAUCUUAUCUAAUUUAUGCCAGUGGCUAGCAGCUUCUGUCUUGGACCAGGUCGCUCUCGAAAAUCAUCUCCGUCCCCCAGCUUCCUACGGUAACACAGGGAAUAAUGAAGGGUUAUUUCACCGGGAAAUUGUGGGGAUUAGAGAUAAUGUAUAUAAAGUGCCUGGUGCACACAAGGCAGUCCAUAAAACACUGCUUAUUUUCUUUAUUAACAUCAGCCUGCCACUCUUACAAAAAAAAAAUAAAGCAUGCCUGGAUAAAUUAGGGCUCAGAAGCACCCCACCACAGAGGCUAAAGAUCCCAAGCUGUUCCAGAAAAACUCUUGGAAAACAGCCCUGAGUUGCAGAAGUCCGAUUGCAGCAGGAGGUGAUCGGUUACAAGGGCUCCGUUUCAUUGCAGCCCUCGCCGCAGCUCAAUAAAUUAAGCAAUCUCUCCAAAUAACAUGUUGCUUUAAUCCCCUCCCUUGGCACCGGUUCAAGUUGUUUGGGGUUUACAUCAGCCCAAGCCCUGAGAGGCCACUCACGGUGUCCUUGUGCCUCUCUCUCCCCUGAUUCAUCAGCCGGCUCUGGAAACAGCGUUGCAGCCUCCUGAUUGGCAGGAGAGCGGAUGCCAAGCCAAGCAGGUCUCCUUUUAUCAGAACUGGAGUCUCUUCUGUCCUCUGGCCUUGACACGUCGCACGGUUCAUCGGCUGAGAUUUCUGGCAGGUCCAUCUGCAACCGAGACAGAGACACCUCUCAGCGGCCGGCCGGGUUCUGGGCGUGGACAGCCAACGCGCCCUGGCUUUUCCAUUCCCAUCCCUCUCUCUCUAGUGGUUUAUAAUCUCACAGCAGAAUUUCGUUUCCCCUAGAAACUUGGCAUCGGAGGUGUCAGCCUGGGAACAUAUUUGUUUGUGUAAAUUAAAAAGAAGAAUAUGUUUUGACCAUAUUUAACUUCUAACCGUGCUGGAGAAAUAAAUACUGGCUCUCACAGUG